Molecule: ribosomal RNA, 729 nt
Filed under: Viridibacillus sp. enrichment culture clone CB1-8 4b1
Lineage: Bacteria; Bacillati; Bacillota; Bacilli; Caryophanales; Caryophanaceae
Description: bacterial SSU rRNA
Rfam family: Bacterial small subunit ribosomal RNA
Source: RNAcentral
GAGUUUGAUCCUGGCUCAGGACGAACGCUGGCGGCGUGCCUAAUACAUGCAAGUCGAGCGAAUGAUGAAGAAGCUUGCUUCUUCUGAUUUAGCGGCGGACGGGUGAGUAACACGUGGGCAACCUACCUAGUAGAUUGGGAUAACUCCGGGAAACCGGGGCUAAUACCGAAUAAUCCAUUUUGUCACAUGGCAAAAUGCUGAAAGGCGGUUUCGGCUGUCACUACUAGAUGGGCCCGCGGUGCAUUAGCUAGUUGGUGGGGUAAUGGCCUACCAAGGCAACGAUGCAUAGCCGACCUGAGAGGGUGAUCGGCCACAUUGGGACUGAGACACGGCCCAAACUCCUACGGGAGGCAGCAGUAGGGAAUCUUCCACAAUGGACGAAAGUCUGAUGGAGCAACGCCGCGUGAGUGAUGAAGGUUUUCGGAUCGUAAAACUCUGUUGUAAGGGAAGAACAAGUACGUUAGUAACUGAACGUACCUUGACGGUACCUUAUUAGAAAGCCACGGCUAACUACGUGCCAGCAGCCGCGGUAAUACGUAGGUGGCAAGCGUUGUCCGGAUUUAUUGGGCGUAAAGCGCGCGCAGGUGGUUUCUUAAGUCUGAUGUGAAAGCCCACGGCUCAACCGUGGAGGGUCAUUGGAAACUGGGAGACUUGAGUGCAGAAGAGGAAAGUGGAAUUCCAAGUGUAGCGGUGAAAUGCGUAGAGAUUUGGAGGAACACCAGUGGCGAA